AUUGAACGCUGGCGGCAUGCUUUACACAUGCAAGUCGAACGGCAGCGCGGGCUUCUGCCUGUCGGCGAGUGGCGAACGGGCGAGUAAUACAUCGGAACGUGCCCAGUAGUGGUGGAUAGCUCGUCGAAAGCCGGAUUAAUACCUCAUACGACCUGAGGUUGAAAGCGUGGGAUCUUCGUACCUCGCGCUUUUGGAUCGGCCUAUGGCAGAUUAGCUAGUUGGUGGGGUAAAGGCCUACCAAGACGACGAUCUGUAGCUGAUCUGAGAGGACGAUCAGCAACACUGGGACUGAGACACGGCACAGACUCCUACGGGAGGCAGCAGUGCGGAAUUUUCGACAAUGGGCGAAAGCCUGAUCUAGCAAUGCCGCGUGAGUGAUGAAGGCCUUCGGGUUGUAAACCACUUUUAGUGGGGAAGAAAAAGACUGUGCAAAUACCAAGAUUCGAUGACGGUACCCGCAGAGUAAGCAACGGCUAACUACGUG
This 484-nucleotide ribosomal RNA is filed under the name uncultured bacterium. Its description in RNAcentral is "partial 16S ribosomal RNA". It matches the Rfam family "Bacterial small subunit ribosomal RNA", at positions 30 to 507 of the family's 1533-position model. The record is from RNAcentral.